CGGACGGGUGAGUAACGCGUGAGUAACCUGCCUCAUACAGGGGAUAACAGUUAGAAAUGACUGCUAAUACCGCAUAAGACCACAGCACCGCAUGGUGCAGGGGUAAAAACUCCGGUGGUAUGAGAUGGACCCGCGUCUGAUUAGGUAGUUGGUGGGGUAACGGCCUACCAAGCCGACGAUCAGUAGCCGACCUGAGAGGGUGACCGGCCACAUUGGGACUGAGACACGGCCCAA
This 234-nucleotide ribosomal RNA is filed under the name uncultured bacterium. Its description in RNAcentral is "partial 16S ribosomal RNA". It matches the Rfam family "Bacterial small subunit ribosomal RNA", at positions 99 to 334 of the family's 1533-position model. The record is from RNAcentral.